GGAUGGGUGGCCGAGUGGUUUAAGGCACCGGUCUUGAAAACCGGCGUGGGUGCAAGCUCACCGUGGGUUCGAAUCCCACCCCAUCCGCCA
RNAcentral lists this transfer RNA (90 nucleotides) under bacterium. RNAcentral describes it as "tRNA-Ser". It matches the Rfam family "tRNA". From Rfam's summary of the family: Transfer RNA (tRNA) molecules are approximately 80 nucleotides in length. The record is from RNAcentral. RNAcentral also lists the same sequence under 5 other names.